GUGCCAGCAGCCGCGGUAAUACGGAGGAUGCAAGCGUUAUCCGGAUUUAUUGGGUUUAAAGGGUGCGUAGGCGGACUGACAAGUCAGGGGUGAAAGCCCGGUGCUCAACACCGGAACUGCCCUUGAUACUGCCAGCCUUGAAUUCGGAUGCCGUGGGAGGAAUGAGUAGUGUAGCGGUGAAAUGCAUAGAUAUUACUCAGAACACCGAUUGCGAAGGCAUCUCACGAAUCCGACAUUGACGCUGAGGCACGAAAGCGUGGGGAUCAAACAGGAUUAGAUACCCUGGUAGUCCACGCAGUAAACGAUGAUGACUAACCGUCGGCGAUACACAGUCGGUGGCCAAGCGAAAGCGAUAAGUCAUCCACCUGGGGAGUACGACCGCAAGGUUGAAACUCAAAGGAAUUGACGGGGGCCCGCACAAGCGGAGGAACAUGUGGUUUAAUUCGAUGAUACGCGAGGAACCUUACCCGGGCUCGAACGGCAUGGGAAGAACCCAGAGAUGGGAACGUCCUUCGGGACUCAUGUCGAGGUGCUGCAUGGUUGUCGUCAGCUCGUGCCGUGAGGUGUCGGCUCAAGUGCCAUAACGAGCGCAACCCUUGUCGCCAGUUACCAUCAAGUUGUGUUGGGGACUCUGGCGAGACUGCCACCGCAAGGUGAGAGGAAGGAGGGGAUGACGUCAAAUCAGCACGGCCCUUACGUCCGGGGCGACACACGUGUUACAAUGGCGGCCACAGAGGGAUGCUACCUGGCGACAGGAUGCUGAUCUCGAAAAGCCGUCUCAGUUCGGACUGGAGUCUGCAACCCGACUCCACGAAGCUGGAUUCGCUAGUAAUCGCGCAUCAGCCAUGGCGCGGUGAAUACGUUCCCGGGCCUUGCACACACCGCCCGU
RNAcentral lists this ribosomal RNA (889 nucleotides) under uncultured bacterium. RNAcentral describes it as "bacterial SSU rRNA". It matches the Rfam family "Bacterial small subunit ribosomal RNA", at positions 505 to 1397 of the family's 1533-position model. The record is from RNAcentral.